Molecule: ribosomal RNA, 499 nt
Filed under: uncultured bacterium
Lineage: Bacteria
Description: partial 16S ribosomal RNA
Rfam family: Bacterial small subunit ribosomal RNA
Source: RNAcentral
GACGAACGCUGGCGGCGUGCCUAAUACAUGCAAGUCGAGCGGACUUUCAAGAAGCUUGCUUUUUGAAAGUUAGCGGCGGACGGGUGAGUAACACGUGGGCAACCUGCCUGCAAGACGGGGAUAACUCCGGGAAACCGGGGCUAAUACCGGAUAAUAUCUUCCUUCGCAUGAAGGAAGGUUGAAAGGCGGCGCAAGCUGCCGCUUGCAGAUGGGCCCGCGGCGCAUUAGCUAGUUGGUGAGGUAACGGCUCACCAAGGCGACGAUGCGUAGCCGACCUGAGAGGGUGAUCGGCCACACUGGGACUGAGACACGGCCCAGACGCCUACGGGAGGCAGCAGUAGGGAAUCUUCCGCAAUGGACGAAAGUCUGACGGAGCAACGCCGCGUGAGCGAAGAAGGUCUUCGGAUCGUAAAGCUCUGUUGUCAGGGAAGAACAAGUACCGUUCGAACAGGGCGGUACCUUGACGGUACCUGACCAGAAAGCCACGGCUAACUACGUG